RNAcentral lists this ribosomal RNA (253 nucleotides) under uncultured bacterium. RNAcentral describes it as "partial 16S ribosomal RNA". It matches the Rfam family "Bacterial small subunit ribosomal RNA", at positions 524 to 776 of the family's 1533-position model. The record is from RNAcentral.
UACAGAGGGUGCGAGCGUUAAUCGGAAUUACUGGGCGUAAAGCGUGCGUAGACGGUUAUCUAAGUCGGAUGUGAAAGCCCCGGGCUCAACCUGGGAACUGCGUUUGUGACUGUAUGACUAGAGUACGGUAGAGAGGGGUGGAAUUCCUGGUGUAGCAGUGAAAUGCGUAGAUAUCAGGAGGAACAUCGAUGGCGAAGGCAGCCCCUUGGACCUGUACUGACGCUCAUGCACGAAAGCGUGGGGAGCAAACAGG